UACGGAGGGUGCAAGCGUUAUCCGGAUUCACUGGGCGUAAAGCGCACGUAGGCGGAUUGUUAAGUCAGGGGUGAAAUCCUGGAGCUCAACUCCAGAACUGCCUUUGAUACUGGCGAUCUCGAGUCCGGGAGAGGUGAGUGGAACUGCGAGUGUAGAGGUGAAAUUCGUAGAUAUUCGCAAGAACACCAGUGGCGAAGGCGGACUCACUGGCCCGGUACUGACGCUGAGGUGCGAAAGCGUGGGGAGCAAACAGGA
Molecule: ribosomal RNA, 255 nt
Filed under: uncultured bacterium
Lineage: Bacteria
Description: partial 16S ribosomal RNA
Rfam family: Bacterial small subunit ribosomal RNA
Source: RNAcentral